CACUCCUGCGGGAGGCAGCAGUGGGGAAUUUUGGACAAUGGGCGAAAGCCUGAUCCAGCCAUGCCGCGUGCAGGAUGAAGGCCUUCGGGUUGUAAACUGCUUUUGUACGGAACGAAACGGCCUUUUCUAAUAAAGAGGGCUAAUGACGGUACCGUAAGAAUAAGCACCGGCUAACUACGUGCCAGCAGCCGCGGUAAUACGUAGGGUGCAAGCGUUAAUCGGAAUUACUGGGCGUAAAGCGUGCGCAGGCGGUUAUGUAAGACAGUUGUGAAAUCCCCGGGCUCAACCUGGGAACUGCAUCUGUGACUGCAUAGCUAGAGUACGGUAGAGGGGGAUGGAAUUCCGCGUGUAGCAGUGAAAUGCGUAGAUAUGCGGAGGAACACCGAUGGCGAAGGCAAUCCCCUGGACCUGUACUGACGCUCAUGCACGAAAGCGUGGGGAGCAAACAGGAUUAGAAACCCCGGUAGUCCC
Molecule: ribosomal RNA, 471 nt
Filed under: uncultured organism
Description: partial 16S ribosomal RNA
Rfam family: Bacterial small subunit ribosomal RNA
Source: RNAcentral